This 403-nucleotide ribosomal RNA is filed under the name Fusobacteriota bacterium. RNAcentral's name for it is "Fusobacteria bacterium partial 16S ribosomal RNA". It matches the Rfam family "Bacterial small subunit ribosomal RNA", at positions 355 to 776 of the family's 1533-position model. The record is from RNAcentral. Lineage: Bacteria; Fusobacteriati; Fusobacteriota.
UGGGGAAUAUUGCACAAUGGGGGAAACCCUGAUGCAGCGACGCCGCGUGAGCGAAGAAGGUUUUCGAAUCGUAAAGCUCUUUCCUAUGGGAAGAUAAUGACGGUACCAUAGGAGGAAGCCCCGGCUAACUACGUGCCAGCAGCCGCGGUAAUACGUAGGGGGCAAGCGUUGUCCGGAAUCACUGGGCGUAAAGGGUUCGCAGGCGGAAAUGCAAGUCAGUUGUGAAAGGCAGAGGCUCAACCUCUGUAAGCAAUUGAAACUGUAUUUCUUGAGAGGUGGAGAGGCAAGUGGAAUUCCUAGUGUAGCGGUGAAAUGCGUAGAUAGUAGGAAGAAUACCGGUGGCGAAGGCGACUUGCUGGACACAAACUGACGCUGAGGAACGAAAGCGUGGGUAGCAAACAGG